UAUUAUCUCAUUAUAUAUUACAAUGUAGUAAUAAUAGAAAUAAAGUGCACAAUAAGUGUAAUGUGCUUGAAUCACCCCUAAACUAUCUCCCUACCCCUUGUCUGUGGAAAGAUUGUCUUCCAUGAAACUGGUCCCUGGUGCCAAAACGGUUGGGAACCGCUGCUUUAUAGCACUCAAGAUAAGCAAAGUGCCUGCAGCCAAGGAUGUGAGUCACCAGAACUAGGUGGAAGAACCACUCUGAGAAAGAAACUGCUAGCACAGGAAAGCAAAAACGACUUCCUCUUGCAAUCGUGUCUUAAGAAUUUCUGUUAGAAUUUUCUUUUCCAUUUCUUUCUCUUUUUUAUUUUCUUUAUAAACUUUUAAAGCCAGUUUCACAACUUGCAUAUAAAGAAUGUCAGCUGCUUUAUUAGUGGUGUUCCACUUGGCACUUAUAGGGAAGCCGGGCAGUCCCGGUUCUUAGGAUAAACACACUUUAUAGUGGAUUUUCUUUAUCCAGCCCAGCAGGCUGGCUCUUUCCUUGGGAAUAAUAUUGGGCAUGUGAUUGUUCCAUCUUCAGAUCCUGUAUCAACCCGCACAUGCUCUUCCAGCUUGCAGCUUUCAAAACCAAAGACAUGGCUCCCAAACUAGCUACUUUCCAAAUCUAUUUUAAUGAAGGUGCUUCAGGGAGCUGAUGAUACCAAUCCACAAAACAAUUUCACAGGGAGAACUGGGCCCAUUGUCUCAGCUCUGUGUCUUAGUAGCUUUGCAAAAGAUCAUUUCCCAGAGCCUGAGUUUCCAAUGACAUAAAUGCAAACAAUUUGUAAAAUCUAACUCAUUACACUGAUGUGGAUGAUUAUAAUAUGCAUAUUGAUGUCUAGAUUGCUGACUUUUGAGAGUAUAAUAAAGCAAAUGUUACAAAGAAGGUGAAAAUGCAAAUAUAUAUUAAGAAUCUGCUUUAAGCUAGGCAUGUGCUGGCUUUAUAUAUGGUUCUAUUUAUUUGAUUUUUAAUACAAUUUUAUAAGAAGAGAGUAUUAGUUAUAUUUGAUAGGUAAAAUAAUGAGGACUCAGUUAUUCAGAGUCACACAGGCAGCAAACAGAGGGAUUGGGAUUCUACUUAUAAACGAUUUGACUUUAUACCAGUGCUCUUUCAACUGGACUAGGUGGCUGCUGCCACACAAUAAAUCACACCAUCAGAGAAUCUUCUAGGUAACUGUUUCACUAAAAUGCAAUUUCUCUGAACAAAGAACGACAAUUUUUGGCCAGGAGAGACAUUCUGAGACUAUACAAAAGUAUACAAGGAUCACUUACCUUCUUAAAAAAUAUUGUUCUGCCUGUGAUCCUUUUAGAAAAUAGAAAACAACAAUAGAAAACUCCAGUGGAGAUUUAAGAAUUUAGUUCAGAACAUUACAUUCCUUUAGAUUAUAGUUUAGCAAAAAUUGGUGGAUUAUUCAUUUAUGAAAAAGAUUAAAUCUCUGACAACGUACAUAAUAAAAACUACCAUACAUAUUGAUAUUUAAUUUAAUAAAUAUCAAUACAUAUUAAUAUUUAAUUGAUUUAUUGAAAAGAAUAGAGAGAUUGGGCAAGGUUGCUAAGGGUCAGGUUCACUCUGACAAAGGUCUGGUCUCUCUGAUUUCCACCAUUGCUUAACUUAUUCCAAAAUAUGUAGCCUCAUUUUAAGGUAAAUAACUAUGAGACGAGAGACAAGUGUGAAAACAUUGUGUUUUCUUUCCAGGACGCUGAAUUGAACUGAUGUCAUUGUAAAAAGGGAAAUGAGUUCUCUGGCUAGGUUUGGGGAACAAACCUCAGACUAUCAAGAGUUCUUGAAUUUUGUGACCAGUGUCCUGAGCAAUUGGCUUCAUCUAGGCCUCAGAUCACAAAACAGAGUUGUAUAAAAUGGAAAGUGCAAUGCUUUUUUAGUAAAAUAACUUUUCUCUUCCUUCCUUUCUUGCUUUUUUCCUUCCUUCCUUCCUCCCUCCCUCCCUCUCUUCCUUCCUUCCUUCCUUCUUUCCUUCCCCCACUUUUUUUUUGGCAGGGGGAUAGAAUGUAAGACUAUAUAUAUCAGAUAAUUCUCUGGGCUACAUUUUAAAAUUUUCAUCUGAUAAUUUACUUUUGUUUCUGUGUGGUAGGAGUGAGAGCUCUCAAUUAUUUAGCACUAAUUGUGUGCCAGGUUCCAUCUGAAGGCUUGACAAGAGUCACCUUAAUUCUUUGCCAUAUUUUGAGGUAGAUACUACUGGCACCAUUUUUUAGACUGAGAAAGGAGAUGUAGAAAGGAUAAGAUGUUGUCCAAAUCCACAUUGACAGUAAGUUUUGGACAUGAGUCUUUAAUCUAGCAAUAUCCGACUUUAGAGUGUGUUCUUAAGCACUACUCUAUAAGUUUUAAGCAGCUCCUUUAUGAUGUCAUUGAACCGGGUUUUCCAGUCACAUUAUACAUGUGGAGAUUAAGACCCAUAAUAACAAUGACAACACUUUCAUAACAGUUCAUCUGUGUUAACAUACAAAUUCUCGCAGCAACACUCCAGGUCUCACUCCAUUGCUCAGGCUGGAACUUUUAUGAUUUUUUUAAGCUCAUAAGGGAGUAAUUCUUAAUUGUUAGGUGGAGCUCAAGAAGGGUCAGUGAAGACCCGCAAAGUGGUCAAAAUGCCAGGCUGAGCUGCUCUUCAGUUUGGAUGCCUGCAACAAAAAUGAAACAAAACAAGAAAACAAGCAAAAAAAAAUCACUUUUUGUUCUGUAAAACUUUACAUUUGGAAACUUACCAACUGGUAACAUGAGAGGAUUAAAUGAAGAUAACGAUCAAGUAAAAUAACUGGCAUAGCACCUGGUUCUAAUAGGCUUCUAUAAAUGCUGCUUCCCACCACUCCUCUCUCUUCCACCUGUUUCACCUUUUGAGAACCCUGAAUCAUGACUUCCAGCUACAUUAUGCCUGGGCAUCAUGACUAUUCAGCUCCCUGAAGGGAAUGCCUUCUGAUGAUUGACACUUAGUAUCUCUUUCUUACUCCUCUGCCUAUCCCCUUGUCUUAUUCCCUUACUACUCUCAACCAGGAAGCUGGAGUAGCUGAAAGUAGAUUUCUUCCAACACGAAAAUGCCUAGGUCAUUAGGUACAUAAGAGGUGCUAACUAACUGAUAAAUAAAUAAGGAGAGAGACAGAGAGAGAAAGGAAGGAAGGAAGGACAAAACCUAAGAUAGUAUAAGCCACUGCUAACCUGUGAUGUUAGAUCUAAGACGUCAAAGAGGAACUGGAGUGCUGGUGAUUCCACCACUGUGAUGCCUUGCUGUGGUCACAGUGCAAGCGCUGGGUAUAUAUGUCAUUCUAAACUGGAGAUAUAGGACCUAUUUCAUGUGAGAACAAGCCUGUUUGAUAUCAGACAUCACCUGGUCAAGCCCUAGCAUUGACCAUUAUUCCAAAGAAAUAAAAAAACUCCUCUGUGAGAUCAGGCUCAAAGGACAGGACUUGAGUUUAAAAUAAAUUUCUGAAAAGACUCAAAAUCAAAGAGCAUGAAGUUGUGGCUAACCUGCAGAGAAUGCCUAUGGAUUUGCUUUUUAGUUCUCAGAAAAUGAGAUGAGCGGGGCAUCAGCUGAAGUUGAGAAGGACUAAAUGUAGAGACACCUAAGGAGAUUACUACUUUUUAUAGUGAUUAAUGCUCUUAAUGAAGUCAUUCUUCCAACUUACCACUUUGUAAGAGGUUUAUAUACAUUCACAGCUGCCCCUCUUCCUUCAGCAAACCAAUGGUAUGGGAGAUAUAGCACUUGACUUGGAAUCAGGCAGUCUGAUUUAGAAUCUGGCUUUUCACUAUCAGCUGUAUUAGCAUGGUAAGUCACUUAAAUGUUCUAAUCCUUGUUGUCCACUCCACUCCCCACUGCAAAAUGAGGAUAUAGUAGAUUCUGCUGGUGCCCAUCCAGCCCCAUUCCCUUUCCCAGACCAGUGCACCCACUCUCCAGCUACCAGAAGUGCUGGCUGAUAAUGGCUGACAGUUGCCACUUUGCCAGGAGAAAUGUCCUUGUCUGGAGAAAUGUCCUUGCACCUCACCUCCUUCCCCUCAUAGCUCACUGGCAAUGAGUAGCCAACAUCAGUAAUGGGGAGUAAUAAUGAAUGUCUAUUUCACAGAGUUGUUAGGAUGAAAUAAUUUAGCAUACAUGAAAAUGCCUAUGAUGCUAAAGUAAAUGCUGAAA
RNAcentral lists this long non-coding RNA (4148 nucleotides) under Homo sapiens (human). RNAcentral's name for it is "HSALNT0320241". Lineage: Eukaryota; Metazoa; Chordata; Mammalia; Primates; Hominidae. The record is from RNAcentral.